CCCUACGGGGUGCAGCAGCUGUAUUUAUUACCAAUCAAGGAUAUUCCGAUAAAGACAUUGAAGUGCUUGAUGUGAAUACUUCCGGGUUGGGGCACAUAGGUAAAAGUAUAGAUGCGGUAUAUGUGAGACCUAAGAACGGAGGGCUAAGAAUGCCUUUUGGGAAAGAUGUUUUUCAAUAUGCCUGUAAAUAUAUGUUACUUGAAACUGAACAGAUAUUGCAUGAGAAUAACAUCCCUAUAAGUCAAUUGAACUAUUUUAUUCCUCACCAGGCUAAUGCCAGAAUUACUGAUUACGU
This 295-nucleotide ribosomal RNA is filed under the name uncultured prokaryote. RNAcentral describes it as "partial 16S ribosomal RNA". The record is from RNAcentral.